Molecule: ribosomal RNA, 513 nt
Filed under: Triticum aestivum (bread wheat)
Lineage: Eukaryota; Viridiplantae; Streptophyta; Magnoliopsida; Poales; Poaceae
Description: partial small subunit ribosomal RNA
Source: RNAcentral
AUGAGACCCUUGUCAUUGCUGGAAACUUGGUUACACCAAACACUGAAGCUCUCUUUGUUGGGCCUAGCAUCUCUUGAACACACCGUUGACAGGCAAAGAUCCAGGAUUCGUUGGCUAAGGGAUGGCGAUGCAAACACUAAACUGUUCCAAGUUGUAGCCAACAGCAGACUUGCCAAUAAUUUCAUCCCCUGCAUCAAGAGAGGCGAUGAAAUCAUCACUGACCAAGUUAGAAAAGAGGAAGUUUUUUCUGAGGCCUUCGAAAACCUGCUUGGGAAGGCCGGAGCCCGUGAUAACACUAUAGACCUUGAGUACCUCCAGAUCCCAGAGUGCAAUCUUGAUGAACUCGAGCUAAUGUUCAUUGAAGAGGAAGUUUGGAACGUGAUUAAAGAGAUCCCUGCCGAUAGAGUUCCAGGCCUCGAUGGAUUCAUUGGUGCUUUCUAUCACAUCGCCUGGCCUUUCAUUAAAGGAGACAUCAUGGCCGCGCUGAUGAAACUGUAUGUGGGAGAUGGAUGA